UUCAAUGGAUUGACACUCCUGCUAAUCUAUGAACCUGACUGAUAAAUGCAAAUAUAACAAGAGGCAAAUGUCCAAUGCACACUAGAUUGAGAAAGACAAUUUGAAUGACAACUCCUUGUCAUAAAUGUGGUUACACUAUACAUUUUGAUAUAGUGUCAAUGCCAAAGCACCUAAUCAUGUACCAUAAGUUCCUAAUGGAUGCAAAGUACUUAUCAGAGUCAAGAUAUGAAGCACCCUUCAAUCUUCAAUCUAACACAACAUCGGUGGUUGGUUGUUUACUUGUGGCUCCUAUUAGAUCACGUAACAACACUUCUCUUUCCUAAGAUGUCCC
This 331-nucleotide long non-coding RNA is filed under the name Setaria viridis. Its description in RNAcentral is "long non-coding RNA (SVIR_LNC007903)". Lineage: Eukaryota; Viridiplantae; Streptophyta; Magnoliopsida; Poales; Poaceae. The record is from RNAcentral.